CAGUCGCCGCGGUAAGACAGAGGAUGCAAGCGUUAUCCGGAAUGAUUGGGCGUAAAGCGUCUGUAGGUGGCUUUUCAAGUCCGCCGUCAAAUCCUAAGGCUCAACCCUGGACAGGCGGUGGAAACUACCAAGCUGGAGUAUGGUAGGGGCAGAGGGAAUUUCCAGUGGAGUGGUGAAAUGCGUUGAGAUCGGAAAGAACACCAACGAUGAAAGCACUCUGCUGGGCCGACACUGACACUGAGAGACGAAAGCUAGGGGAGCAAAUGGGAUUAGAUACCCCCGUAGUCCCUGUCUCUUAUAC
Molecule: ribosomal RNA, 301 nt
Filed under: uncultured bacterium
Lineage: Bacteria
Description: partial 16S ribosomal RNA
Rfam family: Bacterial small subunit ribosomal RNA
Source: RNAcentral